This 207-nucleotide ribosomal RNA is filed under the name uncultured bacterium. Its description in RNAcentral is "partial 16S ribosomal RNA". It matches the Rfam family "Bacterial small subunit ribosomal RNA", at positions 568 to 774 of the family's 1533-position model. The record is from RNAcentral.
CACGUAGGCGGAUUGGUAAGUCAGAUGUGAAAUCCCGGAGCUCAACUCCGGAACUGCAUUUGAUACUGCCAGUCUUGAGUGAGGUAGAGGGGGGUGGAAUUCCCGGUGCAGAGGUGAAAUUCGUAGAUAUCGGGAGGAACACCAGAGGCGAAGGCGACCCCCUGGGCCUCUACUGACGCUGAGGUGCGAAAGCGUGGGGAGCAAACA